RNAcentral lists this long non-coding RNA (1407 nucleotides) under Homo sapiens (human). Its description in RNAcentral is "non-protein coding lnc-SPATA31A6-52:2". The record is from RNAcentral. Lineage: Eukaryota; Metazoa; Chordata; Mammalia; Primates; Hominidae.
GUUUCCACUCACACGGUAGGCGGCUGUGCAAUUUCGUCUGGAGUCCGCAGACCCCUCCUCAUCCUUCCCAGGGUUGCUCUGAGGCCAUUCCUCGUCAUCUAGGAGGGGUCUACAUAAAAGCAUUUAUAAACACCUCCAAAUGGGAGCCAGGCGUGCCCACCUUUGGAGCACUUUUCUCUACUGCAAAUUUAUCUACUGCUCGUGAAAUCUCUGGAUUUAACUCUGAUGAAAGACUGGAGGCUGAAGGAGAACUUCAAUAUCAUAUAUUUUAAAGGUUGAUUCACAGUUUGGAGCAAGAAUUAAAGAACCACGAACUUCAAGGUAAAACGGGCAACGGCGUUGGGGCAAGCCUCUCUGCAUCUGCGUGUCCAGCCUCUCCUGCAUGCCAGAAGUCCCCAGGCAGGAGUGUGGUGGGACAUCCGGCUGGGGUAAGGACAGACACCCUCCCACUGUGUCAGGGCCCAGAGAGUGGGUGGAGAAGCUCUGCAAGAGACCUGUGCAAGGGCGCCUUGCAGGAGCCUGCAGUCCCCACAGGUGUGUUUGUGGAUAACACUUGGGGAGCCCUGGCCUUUUGGGGUCACAGAGGGCUUGGCCUCUCACCUCAGAGCUGCAGAGAAGCCGCUUCUACAUCAGGACAUCAGAAGCUGGAACAGGAUGGCCGGCGAGGGGCCUCUUGUUGGGGUCACAGAGAUGGGUCGCAGAGAUGGCCCGUGUGGAAGGUUGGAUUCUCACCCCACCUCUGCCCCUAGAUGUCCUGGUGACCCUCCCCUCUGUAGUCUUGGUUUUUUGCAAAACAGUUAUGACCUCCUGCCAUACUGGGUACUUUGCUUAUGUAUUGUGUUUACUCUUUACUGUGUGUCUCUCCUGCUAAGGUCUACGAAGAAGGGUCUUUGUGGGUGGGGUUCUUAGAGGCAUCCCAAGUACCAGAAGCAGUCCCUGGACUAAGGGGCUCAAUAAAUAUUUUUUAUUUAUUAUUUUUUCUUUUUGAGAUGGAGUCUCGCUCUCUUGACCAGGCUGGAGUACAGUGGCACAAUCUUGGCUCACUGCAGCCUUCGCCUCCUGGGUUCAAGUGAUUUCUGGCUAAUUUUUGUAUUUUUAGUAGUGACGGGGUAUCACCAUGUUGGCCAGGCUGGUCACAAACUCCUGACCUCAAGUGAUCCACCCGCCUCAGCCUCCCAACAUGCUGGGAUUAUAGACAUGAGCCACCAUGCCUGGCCAAAUAUUUGUCAAAUUGAAUUUGUAUUUCCAUACAAAUUUUAGUCUGGAUAAAGUGCUUCAUGCCUGUAAUCCAAGCACUUUGAGAGGCUGAGGCGGGUGGAUGGCUUGAGCCCAGGAGUUUGAGACCAGCAUGGAAAACAUAGAGAAACCCCAUCUCAAUAUAAGAAGAAGAAGAAAAAGAAAAAAAAA